RNAcentral lists this ribosomal RNA (484 nucleotides) under uncultured bacterium. RNAcentral describes it as "partial 16S ribosomal RNA". It matches the Rfam family "Bacterial small subunit ribosomal RNA", at positions 30 to 507 of the family's 1533-position model. The record is from RNAcentral.
AUUGAACGCUGGCGGCAGGCCUAACACAUGCAAGUCGAGCGGAUGAAGGGAGCUUGCUCCUGGAUUCAGCGGCGGACGGGGGAGUAAUGCCUAGGAAUCUGCCCGGUAGUGGGGGAUAAUGUCCGGAAACGGGCGCUAAUACCGCAUACGUCCUGAGGGAGAAAGUGGGGGAUCUUCGGACCUCACGCUAUCAGAUGAGCCUAGGUCGGAUUAGUUAGUUGGUGGGGUAAGGGCCUACCAAGGCGAGGAUCCGUAACUGGUCUGAGAGGAUGAUCAGUCACACUGGAACUGAGACACGGUCCAGGCUCCUACGGUAGGCAGCAGUGUGGAAUAUUGGACAGUGGUCGAAAGCCUGAUCCAGCCAUGCCGCGUGUGUGAAGAAGGUCUUCGGAUUGUAAAGCACUUUAAGUUGGGGGGAAGGGCAGUAAGUUAAUACCUUGCUGUUUUGACGUUACCAACAGAAUAAGCACCGGCUAACUUCGUG